AUUGAAACACGAGUUCCUGUCCGAUCACUGAAGUUAAGCAACAUCAAGCCUGGUCAGUACCUAGAUAGGUGACAGCUUUGGAAUACCAGA
Acanthosepion pharaonis is the source of this 90-nucleotide non-coding RNA. Lineage: Eukaryota; Metazoa; Mollusca; Cephalopoda; Sepiida; Sepiidae. The record is from the annotation of a GenBank genome assembly.